UACGUAGGGCGCAAGCGUUGUCCGGAAUUAUUGGGCGUAAAGAGCUCGUAGGCGGCCAGUUGCGUCUGCUGUGAAAUCCCGGGGCUCAACCCCGGGCGUGCAGUGGAUACGGGCUGGCUAGAGGCAGGCAGGGGAGAACGGAAUUCCCGGGUGUAGCGGUGAAAUGCGCAGAUAUCGGGAGGAACACCGGUGGCGAAGGCGGUUCUCUGGGCCUGUACUGACGCUGAGGAGCGAAAGCGUGGGGAGCGAACAGG
RNAcentral lists this ribosomal RNA (254 nucleotides) under uncultured bacterium. Its description in RNAcentral is "partial 16S ribosomal RNA". It matches the Rfam family "Bacterial small subunit ribosomal RNA", at positions 524 to 776 of the family's 1533-position model. The record is from RNAcentral.